This 830-nucleotide ribosomal RNA is filed under the name uncultured bacterium. RNAcentral's name for it is "bacterial SSU rRNA". It matches the Rfam family "Bacterial small subunit ribosomal RNA", at positions 24 to 810 of the family's 1533-position model. The record is from RNAcentral.
UCAGGAUGAACGCCGGCGGUGUGCCUAAUACAUGCAAGUCGUACGCACUGGCCCAACUGAUUGAUGGUGCUUGCACCUGAUUGACGUUGGAUCACCAGUGAGUGGCGGACGGGUGAGUAACACGUAGGUAACCUGCCCCGGAGCGGGGGAUAACAUUUGGAAACAGAUGCUAAUACCGCAUAACAACAAAAGCCACAUGGCUUUUGUUUGAAAGAUGGCUUUAGCUAUCACUCUGGGAUGGACCUGCGGUGCAUUAGCUAGUUGGUAAGGUAACGGCUUACCAAGGCGAUGAUGCAUAGCCGAGUUGAGAGACUGAUCGGCCACAAUGGAACUGAGACACGGUCCAUACUCCUACGGGAGGCAGCAGUAGGGAAUCUUCCACAAUGGGCGCAAGCCUGAUGGAGCAACACCGCGUGAGUGAAGAAGGGUUUCGGCUCGUAAAGCUCUGUUGUUGGAGAAGAACGUGCGUGAGAGUAACUGUUCACGCAGUGACGGUAUCCAACCAGAAAGUCACGGCUAACUACGUGCCAGCAGCCGCGGUAAUACGUAGGUGGCAAGCGUUAUCCGGAUUUAUUGGGCGUAAAGCGAGCGCAGGCGGUUGCUUAGGUCUGAUGUGAAAGCCUUCGGCUUAACCGAAGAAGUGCAUCGGAAACCGGGCAACUUGAGUGCAGAAGAGGACAGUGGAACUCCAUGUGUAGCGGUGGAAUGCGUAGAUAUAUGGAAGAACACCAGUGGCGAAGGCGGCUGUCUGGUCUGCAACUGACGCUGAGGCUCGAAAGCAUGGGUAGCGAACAGGAUUAGAUACCCUGGUAGUCCAUGCCGUAAACGAU